RNAcentral lists this ribosomal RNA (492 nucleotides) under uncultured bacterium. Its description in RNAcentral is "partial 16S ribosomal RNA". It matches the Rfam family "Bacterial small subunit ribosomal RNA", at positions 29 to 507 of the family's 1533-position model. The record is from RNAcentral.
AGUGAACGCUGGCGGUAGGCCUAACACAUGCAAGUCGAACGGCAGCACAGUAAGAGCUUGCUCUUACGGGUGGCGAGUGGCGGACGGGUGAGGAAUACAUCGGAAUCUACUUUUUCGUGGGGGAUAACGUAGGGAAACUUACGCUAAUACCGCAUACGCCCUACGGGUGAAAGCAGGGGAUCUUCGCACCUUGCGCGAUUGAAUGAGCCGAUGUCGGAUUAGCUAGUUGGCGAGGUAAAGGCCCACCAUGGCGACGAUCCGUAGCUGGUCUGAGAGGAUGGUCAGCCGCACUGGAACUGAGACACGGUCCAGACUCCUACGGGAGGCGGCAGUGGGGAAUAUUGGACAAUGGGCGCAAGCCAGAUCCAGACAUACCGCGUGGGUGAGGAAGGCCUUCGGGUUGUAAAGCCCUUUUGUUGGGAAAGAAAAGCAGCAGGUUAAUACCCCGCUGUUCUGACGGUACCCAAAGAAUAAGCACCGGCUAACUUCGUG